UGGGGAAUUUUCCGCAAUGGGCGAAAGCCUGACGGAGCAAUACCGCGUGAGGGAUGACGGCCUAUGGGUUGUAAACCUCUUUUUUCAGGGAGGAAUCAAUGACGUGUACCUGAAGAAUAAGCAUCGGCUAACUCCGUGCCAGCAGCCGCGGUAAGACGGAGGAUGCAAGUGUUAUCCGGAAUCACUGGGCGUAAAGCGUCUGUAGGUGGUUUAAUAAGUCAACUGUUAAAUCUUGAGGCUCAACUUCAAAAUCGCAGUCGAAACUAUUAGACUAGAGUAUAGUAGGGGUAAAGGGAAUUUCCAGUGGAGCGGUGAAAUGCGUAGAGAUUGGAAAGAACACCGAUGGCGAAGGCACUUUACUGGGCUAUUACUAACACUCAGAGACGAAAGCUAGGGUAGCAAAUGGGAUUAGAUACCCCCGUAGUCC
RNAcentral lists this ribosomal RNA (427 nucleotides) under uncultured prokaryote. RNAcentral describes it as "bacterial SSU rRNA". It matches the Rfam family "Bacterial small subunit ribosomal RNA", at positions 355 to 796 of the family's 1533-position model. The record is from RNAcentral.